RNAcentral lists this non-coding RNA (189 nucleotides) under Gammaproteobacteria bacterium. RNAcentral's name for it is "6S RNA". It matches the Rfam family "6S / SsrS RNA". Rfam says of the family: E. coli 6S RNA was the first non coding RNA to be sequenced, but its function was unknown until recently. It consists of 184 nucleotides that fold into an extended hairpin structure with a large single-stranded internal bulge. Lineage: Bacteria; Pseudomonadati; Pseudomonadota; Gammaproteobacteria. The record is from RNAcentral.
CGCCUUCUGGGGUGUUCGUUGUCAGGAUUCGGCACUCUUGAACCUUUCUCGUGAUCCCUGGAUACCGGCAUUUGAAGCUGUUGUGCAAAACCGCCUGGGUUAGCGGGAAGCCUGAGGCUUUAAACUGGUUUCCGACUUGGACCUUUCGGUUCAAGCACUCGACCUGAUAACGGCAUUUCCGGUCGGCGC